UGUAAGAAAGCCUGUCCUUUUAAGAGUGACUGGUGACUGUCAUUUCUGUUUUAUUCACCUGUAAGAAAGCCUGUCCUUUUAAGAGUGACUGGUGACUGUCAUUUCUGAUUUAUUCACCUGUAAGAAAGCCUGUCCUUUUAAGAGUGACUGACGUCACAACUAACGUGAGCUUGCAGCGUUAAUUAUCCUAACACCCAAGUUUAGCUCGCCAACUGUGGCUGUGCAGGGAAUCUCCGGUUUUCUAACAUUAUUAUUCUAACUAUUUUAUCCUUCACUGGCAAUCACUUCUUUGGCAUUUGAUUCUACUGUGCAGAGUUGUUGGGACCUGGUUUGGUUCUCAGGUGAGGGUUGUUUCUUUUGGAUUAUCCUCUGAUCAGCCUGAGGAUAUUGGCUGAAGAUGUAAAGCAGGGGUGUCAAACUCAUUUCAUGGAGGGCCUAAUGUCUGGUUUUUGUUUUUUCCUUUCAAUUAAGACCUAGACAACCAGGUGACGGAGUUCCUUACUAAUAAGUGACCUUAAUUCAUCAAUCACGUACAAGGGAGGAGAGAACCCGCAGACACUCGUCCCUCUGUGGAAUGAGUUUGACACGUGAUGUAAAGGAAAUAAAUACUACAAAACAUGAAAUAACCAGGUUACAUUUAAGGCUAUAGAACUAUGAUAGUGCUUUGCAUUUUAGCCUCAUGGAGAGCCACCUUUGGCAGUUAUCUUUAGUGGUCUUAAAUGGGCAGCACCAUACAUUUUAUAGGUAUUUCCUCUCCCUUUUCACUAUUGGGCCUAUCCACAAUCAUGUGCCUGAUGAGCAGGCAAUGACCUACAGAUACCGUGUCAUGUUUUUCCAUCAGAGAGAUCACAUGAACAAGCUUUUUC
Molecule: long non-coding RNA, 866 nt
Filed under: Salmo salar (Atlantic salmon)
Lineage: Eukaryota; Metazoa; Chordata; Actinopteri; Salmoniformes; Salmonidae
Description: lncRNA (ENSSSAG00000083312.1)
Source: RNAcentral